Molecule: long non-coding RNA, 1549 nt
Filed under: Capra hircus (goat)
Lineage: Eukaryota; Metazoa; Chordata; Mammalia; Artiodactyla; Bovidae
Description: lncRNA (ENSCHIG00010032556.1)
Source: RNAcentral
UGAAGGUAAAAAAAAAAAAUGUAGAAUUGUCAGCCUGGUUUAGAGUGCAGCUCCCAAGACUUCCAAGUUAUGCCCAUGUGCUCGCCUUGUGUAUUUAUACUGUAUAUGUAGAGUCUAGAUUUAUAUACUGCAAUGUAAUAUAUAUAUAUAUAUUCCUUUUAUAAAAAGACAAUGGAAGUUACAAGUAGAUAAAACAUAGCUUCAUUUAUUUAAUGCCACUUUAAAUGUCUUAACUUUGUUUCCUGGUGGACUGCCGGGUAAUGCUUUUAGCUGCUGACAUGCUUGUCUUUCUGCCUCUCUAUCAUCUGUUUACCUUUUGGUUAAGUUAAUAAACUGAUUUGGGACUUGGUUGGCACAUGCUGCCGGACUCAAAGGGAUUGUAUCUGGAGUGUUAACCUGGUGGAUCUGGGUUUCAGAUGUGUCAGUAAGCAUUUUGGGAGCCCACGCUGGUCCGGCUCGAGGGAGCAGAGGGAGAGCCAGAGGGCCAGUUAGGAAGGGUCCUCGCCAUCGUCAAGCAUCAUUUGCGUUCCGAGGCAAGAAUGACAUCGUAGGAAAUCGCUGUCAGAUGCGACGGCUUGCUGGAGGGCAUCCUUAGGGGUAGUUUGGCUGGGGACACUGUAUAAAAUCAAACUUAGGAUCCAAGGUAGGACUUUGCCUUCUUUCCAGCAGCCUUUCCUGAGUCUCCAGUUGCUACCAUCGGCACAGUUCUUGAAACCAUCCUUGGUGCUCCAGAAGCCGGGAGGGCCUCUCUGGAGGGAAGGAGGAAGGUCUUCCCAAAAUUCAGUCAGAUCUGGGUGAGCUUCAUUCAACAAAUGCCCAUUGGCAUUCCAUCAUAUCAUUCCCUAAGAAACGGAUUCCUAAAGAGAUCCAGAUUAGCAAGUUUUCUGGGUCCCUGUGGGAUAUAGGAGAGAGUCAAGUAGGAGUUAUAAUAAUUGAUAAUAUGGGCAAGAAAAGGGGGCUUUCUGUUUCUGGCACUAGGUGACUAUAUUGUCAAGAUUAUCUGAGAAAAUGGGUUCCCUUGUUUUGUCUCCCUCCAGAAGCAGCUUGGCGACAUUUUGCCUGAAGGAAUAAUGUCUUAAAUUUUUCUUCUUUGGAGUCUUUUCAAAUUUGCUGUGCAGCACAGGAUCAUUAGGAAGUAUACAGUCUUACUCCAUGUCCUGAUUUCAGUGGUCUGGAGAAGUUUCGCCAAUGCCAACCCUUUUUUUCUAUAGAGCUGUUGCAAUGGCGCCAAUUACCACCUGUAUCCACAGUUCCACUCUGAGAAGUUAUUUCCAUUGUGUUGUGCAUGGCUGUUUCCCCUAGGAUCUCUAUGAAAAUGAAAUAACUUCUGGAAGGGAUGGCUAGGCUAGGCUAAAGUAACAAAGUAUGAAAUCUCGGUAACUUAGGGUAGUUUAGUUUUCAGCAUGUCAUAGGUAUUGCAAAUCGGGCAACUCUCCUUAGUGGCUCAAGGAUCCAGGCAGCUUCCAUCUUGCAACCUAGUGCCAUGGUGUCAGAUUUUUUUCCUUCAAAAUCACAGCGAUGGUGGAGAGAACUCACAACCGUUCCUGAC